Long non-coding RNA from Mus musculus (house mouse), 552 nucleotides. RefSeq annotates it as predicted gene, 31647. NCBI's taxonomy places the organism in Eukaryota, Metazoa, Chordata, Mammalia, Rodentia, Muridae. The record is from RefSeq and is a predicted model, not a curated record. The transcript is spliced from 2 exons.
CCAACACACCCGGGGUCACUCCUCCUCUGCCUCUUAGCCACGGGGCAGGCCUGUUUUUCUAAGCAGAGUCAAUUAGACUUUCCCCUAGGACUUUGAUUCUUGAGUGGUUGACACAAGGUUAGGAAAUCGGUUGGAGCUGACUCAUCUGGGCCAGACAGCCUCAAGGGUUUGCGUUCGUCCCUGUACCUGGAUUCCUGGAAUGGCCUUUGUUCCUGCUCUUCAGCUCUAUUUCUUCAUCUAAGUUAUAUCUCAUGGGCCUGAAUGAAGCGGGAAAGUCAAAACCAACUCUAAUAAAGAACAAUUAAAGACACUUCCCAUGAUGCUUUGGAAUCAAGCAUCCACACUGGACUGCUAGUGACUGGUGUGUUUAAAAUAUCAAACCUGCAUGGAACAAGGAAGAAAAAUUGCUCACAAAUAGUUGCAAGAGCCUAUAGGCUGGGUAAUCCUUUUCAUCUGCUGAAACAACUGAAGUUAUUUGUUGUAACUAUGUCUUCUGACAAUGUGACUUAAAAAUGACAGAUCAUUCAUCAUUAAAGCUUUGUAACAUGCAAA